Molecule: ribosomal RNA, 439 nt
Filed under: uncultured Bifidobacterium sp.
Lineage: Bacteria; Bacillati; Actinomycetota; Actinomycetes; Bifidobacteriales; Bifidobacteriaceae
Description: bacterial SSU rRNA
Rfam family: Bacterial small subunit ribosomal RNA
Source: RNAcentral
CCUACGGGAGGCAGCAGUGGGGAAUAUUGCACAAUGGGCGCAAGCCUGAUGCAGCGACGCCGCGUGAGGGAUGGAGGCCUUCGGGUUGUAAACCUCUUUUGUUAGGGAGCAAGGCAUUUUUUGUUGAGUGUACCUUUCGAAUAAGCACCGGCUAACUACGUGCCAGCAGCCGCGGUAAUACGUAGGGUGCAAGCGUUAUCCGGAAUUAUUGGGCGUAAAGGGCUCGUAGGCGGUUCGUCGCGUCCGGUGUGAAAGUCCAUCGCUUAACGGUGGAUCCGCGCCGGGUACGGGCGGGCUUGAGUGCGGUAGGGGAGACUGGAAUUCCCGGUGUAACGGUGGAAUGUGUAGAUAUCGGGAAGAACACCAAUGGCGAAGGCAGGUCUCUGGGCCGUUACUGACGCUGAGGAGCGAAAGCGUGGGGAGCGAACAGGAUUAGAUA